RNAcentral lists this ribosomal RNA (254 nucleotides) under uncultured bacterium. Its description in RNAcentral is "partial 16S ribosomal RNA". It matches the Rfam family "Bacterial small subunit ribosomal RNA", at positions 524 to 776 of the family's 1533-position model. The record is from RNAcentral.
UACGGGGGGGGGUAAGCGUUGUCCGGAAUUAUUGGGCGUAAAGAGCUCGUAGGCGGCUUGUCACGUCGAUUGUGAAAGCCCGAGGCUUAACCUCGGGUCUGCAGUCGAUACGGGCUAGCUAGAGUGUGGUAGGGGAGAUCGGAAUUCCUGGUGUAGCGGUGAAAUGCGCAGAUAUCAGGAGGAACACCGGUGGCGAAGGCGGAUCUCUGGGCCAUUACUGACGCUGAGGAGCGAAAGCGUGGGGAGCGAACAGG